This 77-nucleotide transfer RNA is filed under the name Armatimonadota bacterium. Its description in RNAcentral is "Armatimonadetes bacterium (fermentation metagenome) tRNA-Met". The record is from RNAcentral. Lineage: Bacteria; Bacillati; Armatimonadota.
GGCGGAGUACCUCAGUUGGUUAGAGGAACCGGCUCAUACCCGGUGCGUCGGCAGUUCGAGUCUGCCCUCCGCUACCA